UCCAAAGGGCCUCCUGCCUUGCUGGCUGU
Molecule: non-coding RNA, 29 nt
Filed under: Rattus norvegicus (Norway rat)
Lineage: Eukaryota; Metazoa; Chordata; Mammalia; Rodentia; Muridae
Source: RNAcentral